This 253-nucleotide ribosomal RNA is filed under the name uncultured bacterium. Its description in RNAcentral is "partial 16S ribosomal RNA". It matches the Rfam family "Bacterial small subunit ribosomal RNA", at positions 524 to 776 of the family's 1533-position model. The record is from RNAcentral.
UACAGAGGGCUCAAGCGUUGUUCGGAUUCAUUGGGCGUAAAGGGUGCGUAGGCGGCUCGGUAAGUCGGGUGUGAAAUUUCGAGGCUUAACUUCGAAACUGCAUUCCAUACUGCGGUGCUUGAGGACUGGAGAGGAGACUGGAAUUUACGGUGUAGCAGUGAAAUGCGUAGAGAUCGUAAGGAAGACCAGUGGCGAAGGCGGGUCUCUGGACAGUUCCUGACACUGAGGCACGAAGGCCAGGGGAGCAAACGGG